This is a long non-coding RNA of Apaloderma vittatum (bar-tailed trogon), 351 nucleotides long. RefSeq lists it as uncharacterized. NCBI's taxonomy places the organism in Eukaryota, Metazoa, Chordata, Aves, Trogoniformes, Trogonidae. The transcript is spliced from 3 exons. The record is from RefSeq and is a predicted model, not a curated record.
GGGGGUGGCGGCGGUCUAUCGCCGAGCCUCCCGCUGAGAUGAGCUCCGGUGCCUGCUUGUAGUUGCCCACUUUGGGAUCGCUGGACACAUAAGUGGCAUUUCGCUGGGGGGGAAAGCCUGCAGACAUGUGAGAAUGGCUGGACCAUUGCAGUGGCGCACUGGUUUUUGUGGAUGGUGAACACAAAAAAGGGAUUGAGAAGAGACCACCCGAGUUAUUCUGAUGCAUGAGUGCUUUCUGUUCUUAGACAAAUGAGGAUCUGAGAUAUGUAGACUGAGAAUAACACACGUCCAGGUUAAAACUGUAUUCUACAAGAGAUAUUUGAUGGAUUAUUCCUAGAUAUUUCUGAGAAG